ACUCCUCCUCCAUGCCCAGGGACCGCGGGUGCUUGGGGCCCCGACGCGUACCCAGGUGCCAUCUGGCCCUCACCUCCCGCCGUAGCUGGCUGUGACGCCCGCCAUGGGCACACUGGGGCAGUGCAGUGAGAAGACGAGGAUGCCCAGCAGGCUGACAACGGUGCAGAACAGGCAGAACUUGAUGACCGCGGAGCCCCGGAGCCUGAGCUUGUUCACAAAGAAGCCGCCCAGGAAGGUGCCGCCACCACCCGCUGGCACCACCAGGGCAGCCACACCCCCUCCUCCCCCAGGGGCCUCUGCCGAGUCCCUGCAGGCUGUGACAAGGACAUUUGUCGAAGCCUGAGUGGCCACCAACAGUAAAAAAUUGCGAUUAGCUGGCAUCUAGCUUCUGGGCUGACAAGUGAGGAGGGCACAGAUAGUGGACCCUGGAAGGGUAGAGCGCGGUAGAUUGGCGGUGGUGGCCCACAUGCCUGGCACCUCUGCCAUGGCCCAGGGUACUCUGUGAACGCUGGCAGGAGGAGCAGCUCUGAGGAGGGGUCCCCACUUUCUGCAGACCUGCCCAGCCUGGGAAGGCCAGCCUGCCUCUGGCACCGAGAAACCCCCAGCUGCACUGUUCCAGGAGGUCCUGAGGCACCAGUGCCUGGCUCAUGGAACAGCCAGGUCCAAACCCUUCCUGCACCAAGUCACAGAAGCCAAGACUAGGUGGCUAGGGGGUGGAGCCCACCGUGGACCCUUCCACCUACGGAGCAUGUCCCACAAAGAGGGCAGGACCACCACUCUCCCGGCCUGUGGACAGAGUCGCUCAGCCCCCGUGGCGCUCUCCACACCUGCUCUGGCAGCGGGGGUGGGAGGGCACUCACUGCCAUGUGCCCUGUCUGGGUCUUUCUAGAAGAUGCCCUUGAAGACUCUGUUUCUGAGAACUGACAUAAAAGCAGAGGACCCCCAAGAUUCAGUUUUCUCACCAAACAAGGUGGCAGCUUCUGAGGCACUCAGGCUGAACUGGGACUCCAAGAACUUGGGGCUGAACGUGGACAUGCCGGUGAUGAGAGUGGCCUCGGUGGCCCCGGCCAGGCAGAGCAGGAUGAACGUGGGGUUCUUCAGCAGGAGCCAGAUGGAGCUGGGCAGAGGUGGGGGUGUGGAGAAGAGACUGAGGGUCAGAGUGGUGGGCAGAGGUCGGGGUGUGGAGAAGAGACUGAGGGUCAGAGUGGUGGGCAGAGGUCGGGGUGUGGAGAAGAGACUGAGGGUCAGAGUGGGCCAGACCCAGGGUGGGAGGAACCUGCUGUUCCUGAGGCUGUCAGCUCCCCGGUCUGAUUACAAAGGGCCCCUGUUCCGACAGGGAGUAGAGUGGGGUGCAGGCAGGUGGGGGACACCCACACUUAUUCCAGAGAAACCCAGGGGGCGCCAGGCUGAGCCUAUGCCUGUGGCCCACUUGUCCUGAAAGCUGCAGUCCCUGAUUAGGGAAAAACCUUAUCAGUGCCUUGGCCAGAGCUUCAGCUCAGGUGGGGAGAGACCCCAAGUGACCCAGGACCCUGUUCCGUCACUGGCCAGCAGCAGGGCCUGAAAAAGGGAACUGGCUGGGGCAGGCAGAGGCCACCAAGUCCAGGACCGGACAGGCCCUGGGAUAGGGGAAUGGAAUCACGGGAAUGGGGACUGUGGCCAGUCCCCAACCGCCAGCCCCUGGGAGAAGUGGGGCAGGAAGCCACUGGGAUUCGAACCCUCCAUGCAAGAAGCCCCUGGGUAGACGGACCUGGCUAGCUUGGUUUGCACUUGGGGGCCAGUGGCCCUGGGGGUGGUGAGGCCUCAACUGGGGCGAGUCCUUGGUGCAUGGGCCUGGAGCCCUGGGGGGAACUGUGGGAACUCUGAGCCGUCUGGCCCUGAGGGCUCAGCCUCAGCCUCCACAUCUGCCUGUUGCGGUCCUGGCUGUGGGGUCUCAGGAUAAGGACAUAGCCCCCUGGAAGCUGGGAAGGCCCCACAUCAGGCCUUGCAGUUUCUAACCCAGGAGGUGGCCGACAGCAGUGCGUCGGGGCUGCCUGUCCCUGCACACGAGGCCCUGGGGGGUGAAUGGAGGCUCUCCCUGUUUUUGUUAGCAUUGGAGGCCUGAGCAGGGCUAACGCCCAACCGCUGCUUAAGCGCAUAAGAUGCUGAGAUGGAAAACGUGUUGCAUGGUGUAAACCACGCAAAGCCCUCCCAGCCAGUGCAGUGAUCGAGGCAGACAGAAGGGAAACCGCCUCUGCAAAGAGAGGCUCGGCUCUCUCUGGGGUACACAGAUCACCCAGACUGGGCAAAGCUCACAUUCAUCCCAGCUCACAGCUGCCUGCAUCCUGUUCACAGCACGCUCCUGUGCGUGACCCUUCUCCCCCACUGAGUGGGGGGCUCUCGGCCUCAGGUGGGGGUGUUUGCAGACACAGCUAUUGUCCUGUCCCUGGAACUCAUAACAUAGACCAGGGGCAGAGACUGUUCCUGAAGCCCCAGGUCAUGGCACAAUAGCCUCUCACAUCAGCCCACAGUAAUGCAAAUUUUCACAAUAAAUGACAUGUCCAUGUCGCCUCUGCUCACACCGCAGUGUCGCUGACUUGAACCCCUGCGUCUGCAGCUUAGUGACAUCCUGUAAACCUACACUUUCCAGCCUCUCACCAGAGCAGACUGUCGGCCUCACAUCACCCCCACCUGCAGGAGGGCGGCUCUUUCCUCUCGGCCACACCUAGAGCCUGGUUCCGAUGAACGCAACUCUGAAUGCCUGGAACAUUCAAAUGCUCUUGUUUGAGGAGGUGGCCAAAUGUAAAUGGAUUCUGAAGAAUCAGGAACAGACGGUGCAGCCCUAGUUAGCCUCUGAGCCCCAACAGGCCCACAGGUGCCUUGCAGAGCUGAUGUUGGCGUCAGAAACUCCGCUCCAGCCUCACAGGCACUCUGCCUGCUUGGAGGUGUUCGCUGGCUCGCUCAGACUGACCUCAGCAGCCAUGAACAUGGGUUCUUUCUGUCCCCUUCCCUGAUUAAAAUGGGAGAGCCCAGUUCUUUCAAAAUUUAUUUCCUGACUUGAGGAUUGAAAAGCCUCUUCUUUCUGGUUAACUACUUGGGUCCCACGUCUUGAAAAAGGCAAGACGAUGGAGGACAAAGGAGACCCCAGCCCAUGCCCUCCCUUCCCCAGCCAGUUCUGGCAUGUGGGGUGACAGACCUGGGGUGGGCACCCUGGGGGGGGUCCCGGCGUGUGGGGGGAUGGGGCUGGGGUGGGCACCCUGGGGGGGUUCUGGCGUGUGGUGUGACGGGGCUGGAGUGGGCACCCUGGGGGGGUCCUGGCAUAUGGGGGGAUGGGGCUGGGGUGGGCACCCUGGGGGAGUCCCUCCCUGGGGCUUUUCCCAGACCUGCCCAGGCUCCGGGGUGUGUGGCUGCGUUAGGAGGCCCUGACUCUCUGAAAUGCUAUGCAAACUUCAUUUCUUAAUCACUGAUUGCUCGGCUGAAAUUCUCGUGUUGAAUUUGCCCAGAGAAUUAGUCAUGACUUUAAUAAAGGGAACAUGUCCCAUGAUUUAUUUCUUCCCAGCAACUGGUUUAGGGAACUAACCCUGGACAUAAACCUCCUUAUCACCUGAUGAACUGAAAGAGCCCCAGGGUUCCUAGGUCCACACUGGGGGCUCACAGCCACGCUGGGAACAGGGCGCCUGACCCUCAGCUCUAAGCCGCUCUGCUGCUGGGUGGAGGAGAGAGGUGCAGCAAGACAGCAAAGCAAGGCCGGACCACACUCAGCAGAAAGGGAAGGCAGCCAAGGCAGACGGCAAAGCAAGCAACCUCCCCAGAGGGGUCACGACAGAGGUUAGGGGCUGCGUCCCCAUCAUGAUCCCGGAGGGGUCUCAACGACUCCCCCAAGAUGGGGACCAUUAAAGGGUCUGAGGACACUAGGAACCCUCCCGACUCCGGUCCUUACAGAGGCAGCCCUCGCAGCCCCGGGGAGGCGGCACUGGAACAGAAACCACGUGAGAAUGCAGCACAAGCCGGGUUUGGAGGUGUGGGAGAGCUGGGGCCCAAAGUGGGGCUGGGGGAAGGAGGGGAUGGAGGCCCUGCCCUGAUUGGGACAAGCCUGUUCCGUGGCCUGAGGGGGAGAAGCCGCUGGGGCAGAGGGGAGGCCACAGGACAGGAUGGACACACAACCUGCCUUGUGCCACAGCCAGGAGGCGUCUCUCCACCCAGAUGGGAAGAACACUGAGAAUGAGGGUGUGCCGCAGACUUGAUCAUGGCGGGGAAAAAGACAGCAGAGGAAACGGGGUGCCCCCUUCGCGAAGACUAAGGGACAGUCUCCCAAUGUGAAGGCUGGGCUGGGGAAGGGAAACCCACCUGGCAGCUGCCGAGGGUAACCAAGGAUGGGAACGGCGGUGAAGAAAGCAGCGGCCCCAGAGCCCAGGAAGCCGACCCACCAGGCGCCGACCCACAGUGGGCUCUCGGUGGUCAGCUCCGUCCUGUGGAAGAGGCAGUGGCACCUGGGUCAGCGUGCAGCCCACCUGUGCCCUCCAUGGCACACACACUGGGGGCUGCUGGCCCCUCCUCCGGGCAGACCUCCAGGGUCUGUCUGCACGCUGGUCAACACAGGCCCCUGGUGCUGCUGGCCACAGGUCCUGUCCCUUCCUUGCAGACUAAAGCAAACACCACCUUGGCUUAGCUGUCCCCCAAGACAGAUGGCUCCAUGCCUUGGCCCACGCUCCAGGGCUGGAGAUGCCACCUGUGGCCUGGUCCUGAGACCACGGUGGGGUUGGGCACUAAGAGGAGCAGCCUCUCCAGGCAACAGCGGGAGGAGGCAUCCCUCCCCACAGUGCAGAGGAUGACAGAUGGGGUUCCCAGGGACGCCAGAGGGCUCAGCUGGAGCUCACUGAGAGCUCCCCACGAAGGGACUGUUGUGCACGUGGCAAUUUGCACAUAAGUGCUUUCAAACGAAAAGGCGAGUGGAAAAUAACCAUGGGCUGAGGCGGCCGUGGAGUGGUAGAAGCCCAUCCAAGCUCUGGGCAUCCAGGGACGCGUCUUCACAGUGAGGACAAGCUCUGGGCUUUCGGGGAUGUGUCUUCACAGUGAGGCAGCGGCGGGAGGGCAAAAGGCCAGCAAAGGCCGGGAGCAGAGCCGCAGAGACAGACAGAGGACACAGGGAGCGCCAACACCCUGCAAGGCUGCAGCCAGGCGGCACCUGCUUGCUCCAGCGCAGAAAUGCUGCGGCCGCCUCCGGGGGCCAGACCCCGCUCUGCCUCCCCACUUUGUGCAAAGUGGGCCCAGAUCCCGGAGCCAGAAGGGGCACAGAGACUGAGAGAAGCAUCCAGACCCGGGACACGAGCUCCAGCCUACCUCCAGGCUCUGCCCAGAACGCACACACUUGACCCCACAUUAUCAAUCCGAGGCCAGAGGGGCUUUUGUAAGAGGUCAGAGUGCUAGAGACCUCCAGGAGAGGCGCCAUCUGCAGAAAGAGUCCCAAGGUGCAGCGGUGCCCAGGCCGAGUAACAGAGGACCUUGGAAACUUCACAAGUGCAGGAUGGGCAAGGGAUGAAUGGGGGGCCCAAACCCACAGAGCACUGGCGGUCAGCAAGGACAUGUCUCCUCUGCCUCCCCAUCUCCAUCUGUCUCUGUCUCUCUCUGCCUGUCGCUGUCUUCUUUCUGUCCCUCUGUAUCUCUAUCUCCAUCUGUCUCUGUGAAUUGGUCUGUCUCUACGUGUCUUUCCCUCUGUCUCUCUCUGCCUCUCCCUCCACCCCUCCUUGCUUUCUCCUGCUUACAUUUACAGAAACUAGGGUCACACACACAAGAUACAAAGAAAGGAAAAGAAACAGAAAAAUCUCAGUUUCAUUAGGGAACUAGUGGCCAGGGCUCGCUGGGCUUUGCAAGCGCUUAGGCCUCGGGCACUGCCUGCCUGCCCUGCCUCCUGCCCUGGGGCCGACUCCCAAGGCCCCUACAGAUCCUCCGAGUCCUCCAGAGCCAAGGCCAGCCUUGACUCCCUCCAGCCCGGGGGGUGCCCAGCACCUGCGCCGCGCCCGGCCUGACUCAGAGUGGGCCCUGCUGACUCUGAACCCCCUUCCAGAGACACGUGGGCCUCUCCAGCGCAGGCAGCUGGGUGCGCGGCCACUCACCGUCGGCCCAUUUCCGUGUAGAUAUUCAGCAGGGCACCUCCAAUCAGGUAGCCGGCAGCUGGGCCCAGGAUGGCCGCUGUGUAGAAGAUGGCUGCGAGAGAGGCAGAGGCGUCAGGGCCGCUGUGCACCACCCAGGGGCUGCGGAGGGCCGUGUGGGGCCCCGUGCCUGGGAGAAGCCCCGCACCCGCCAUUCUGCAUCUCCGGCCCACUCCCCUCAUGGGCCUCUUUAAGUUAGAUGAGUCUGUGCAGUUGCCACUGGGCCUGAUAUGGGUCAGCAUCAAUCUUUAAAAAUCCCCCUCAAAGCCAAGUGCACUGUCUUUCCCUUACGAAAGGGCAAAGGCCCUCGAAGCCCCGUUUGCAGGGCGUCUAAGUAGCCGCACAGAUGGACACUGGCAGGAAUUAGGGGCCCAGGGUGGGGAAAGGGACCAGAGAGGCCUGAGCCCCUCCGCCCAGCCACGCUCACUCUCCCACAGGCCGGGAUUUGGAAGGCUCGGUGUGGUGGGACGUCCCCUCGCUGGAGUGAGGUGAUCUCAACACCCGCCUGGGUUCUUGGGACGAGCACUGCCAGGUGACUGGGAUGAGCAGAGCUCAAGGAGGACAUGAGGAGGCUGAGGUCACUGCAGAGUCCGGCUGGGGCCAGCUGCUCCCCGUGACCAUCCUACGAUGCCCUUCCCGGGAGAGCCAAGCCAGGCAGGGGGACGCCGAGAAGUGGGGUCAGGCGGGCCGUGCACUGGGUCAACUCGGCCAUGUCGGACGGGCCAUGGGGCUUCCCUACAUCUCAACAAACAGGAGCAGGAAGCCAGUGAGGGGCCCAGGGCUGCCCCAGGGCAGUGAGCUCAGCUGCCUAGCAUAGAGUUAUAACAUAGAUCUUUACUCUUAGAUAGCUGUGAAGCAGCCAUGAGCUGCUUCAUGUUAUUUUUCCCCUUAAAGUUCUGACUCUCCAGAUUUGCUCGGUCUUUUCCACACCCCUAUGUGGCUGCCGGAGCAGACACGGUGCUUACGGGCAGACGUGGGUGUGGUCUCAGGGCUCUGUCCCUCCACCUCUAUGUGGCUGAUGGAGCCAACAUGGUGCUUUCAGGGAAACAUGGGUGUGGCCUUGGGGCUCUGUCCCUCGUCACUUAUCCCACAUCAAACUCCUUCCCAGGCAAGUGCCAGGUUCCCAGCCGGAGCAUGAGGUCUGCCGCCAUUGGACCUGGUGCCACCCAGCGCCUAGUGACUGUGCCCCUUGGUCCUGGCAAGGUGGGCUGGACACCACGCAGGGGUUGCACUGAGGCUCCCGGGCACAGCGGCCUGGAGCCCUGAGCAGGGUCCACAUGAGAAAGCCGGAGUCCCUUACAUCAGCUUUGGGCCUCAGGGCGGACCCUCCUCCCCUGCCAACUCUUGCAGCAGCCCCAGGGCCAUGCAGACAAGGGGUACACGAAGGCAGGGGGCGGGGCUGGCUCCGGCCAGUUACCCUCACUCCUGCAACACUGCCCUCAGCCACCCCUGCCAGCACUUACCCCGCCAGCCCCACUCACCAAUGUAGACGGGCGAGCAGCUGGACUUGACGUUCUCAUCCAGGUAGGUGACGCCCAGCGUGUAGAGGGGUGUGGCACCCACGCCAUGCAGGAACUGGCCCAGCAUGAAG
Molecule: long non-coding RNA, 7716 nt
Filed under: Homo sapiens (human)
Lineage: Eukaryota; Metazoa; Chordata; Mammalia; Primates; Hominidae
Description: non-protein coding SLCO4A1-AS1:7
Source: RNAcentral